Molecule: ribosomal RNA, 511 nt
Filed under: Pyrrhosoma nymphula (large red damselfly)
Lineage: Eukaryota; Metazoa; Arthropoda; Insecta; Odonata; Coenagrionidae
Description: eukaryotic LSU rRNA
Rfam family: Eukaryotic large subunit ribosomal RNA
Source: RNAcentral
GAGUCGUUGGGUCGGACACGCUCCGCUAAACCCAUAGGCGCAAUGAAAGUGAAGGCCGCUCUUUGGCGGCCGAGGGAGGACGGGGCCGCUCGGGCGCUCCGGCGCUCGUCGGUCCCCGCACCCCCGGGGCGUCUGAUCCCUCAUCGCGAGGGGAGGCGCACCCAGAGCGCACACGUUGGGACCCGAAAGAUGGUGAACUAUGCCUGGCCAGGACGAAGUCAGGGGAAACCCUGAUGGAGGUCCGUAGCGAUUCUGACGUGCAAAUCGAUCGUCGGAGCUGGGUAUAGGGGCGAAAGACUAAUCGAACCAUCUAGUAGCUGGUUCCCUCCGAAGUUUCCCUCAGGAUAGCUUGCGCUCGGAGGAGAGUCUCAUCCGGUAAAGCGAAUGAUUAGAGGCCUUGGGGCCGAAACGGCUUCAACCUAUUCUCAAACUUUAAAUGGGUGAGAACUCCGGCUUGCUCGACUUGUCNAAGCCGGAGACGGGGCUCCGGCCCCCGGGAUCGGAGUGCAUA